GAUGAACGCUGGCGGCGUGCCUAAUACAUGCAAGUCGAGCGAACAGAUGAGGAGCUUGCUCCUCUGACGUUAGCGGCGGACGGGUGAGUAACACGUGGAUAACCUACCUAUAAGACUGGGAUAACUUCGGGAAACCGGAGCUAAUACCGGAUAAUAUAUUGAACCGCAUGGUUCAAUAGUGAAAGACGGUUUUGCUGUCACUUAUAGAUGGAUCCGCGCCGCAUUAGCUAGUUGGUAAGGUAACGGCUUACCAAGGCAACGAUGCGUAGCCGACCUGAGAGGGUGAUCGGCCACACUGGAACGGAGACACGGUCAAGACUCCUACGGGAGGCAGCAGUAGGGAAUCUGCCGCAAUGGGCGAAAGCCUGACGGAGCAACGCCGCGUGAGUGAUGAAGGUCUUCGGUUCGUAAAACUCUGUUAUUAGGGAAGAACAAAUGUGUAAGUAACUAUGCACGUCUUGACGGUACCUAAUCAGAAAGCCACGGCUAACUACGUG
This 497-nucleotide ribosomal RNA is filed under the name uncultured bacterium. Its description in RNAcentral is "partial 16S ribosomal RNA". It matches the Rfam family "Bacterial small subunit ribosomal RNA", at positions 28 to 507 of the family's 1533-position model. The record is from RNAcentral.